Molecule: ribosomal RNA, 301 nt
Filed under: uncultured bacterium
Lineage: Bacteria
Description: partial 16S ribosomal RNA
Rfam family: Bacterial small subunit ribosomal RNA
Source: RNAcentral
CAGCAGCCGCGGGAAUACGAAGGGGGCUAGCGUUGUUCGGAUUUACUGGGCGUAAAGCGCACGUAGGCGGACUUUUAAGUCAGGGGUGAAAUCCCGGGGCUCAACCCCGGAACUGCCUUUGAUACUGGAAGUCUUGAGUAUGGUAGAGGUGAGUGGAAUUCCGAGUGUAGAGGUGAAAUUCGUAGAUAUUCGGAGGAACACCAGUGGCGAAGGCGGCUCACUGGACCAUUACUGACGCUGAGGUGCGAAAGCGUGGGGAGCAAACAGGAUUAGAGACCCCAGUAGUCCCUGUCUCUUAUAC